GGGCGGGUAGUCUAGAGCGUAAGGUGCGGGGAACUUGGUAUGACCGGGUUUGGGACCCGGAGGCCCUGGGUUCAAAUCCCAGCCCGCCCACCA
This 93-nucleotide transfer RNA is filed under the name Candidatus Jordarchaeia archaeon. RNAcentral's name for it is "tRNA-Pro". It matches the Rfam family "tRNA". Rfam says of the family: Transfer RNA (tRNA) molecules are approximately 80 nucleotides in length. Their secondary structure includes four short double-helical elements and three loops (D, anti-codon, and T loops). Lineage: Archaea; Promethearchaeati; Candidatus Jordarchaeia. The record is from RNAcentral.